AGACACACAGGGCCAGUGGGACAGACUCAUCGCUCAGGCUUUGCUCGCUACAGAGAUCUCACUGUCUGAUGAAAUGCCAAAAGAAACCAGCAGCCAACACAAUGACCCAUAAUCCUCCAGCUCCCCCUCCAUCACACAGUCCUGCCGCCGCUGCUCAGAGCUGAUAGUGAGGAGAUUGAAAAGGAUGGAUGACCUAAGACAGGAAGAUGGAUAGGAUUUGAGUGUAGCUGGCCAGGAAGAGUGUUGCAUCAGCCUAGUUGGUGUUCACCCGCGGACAGUCACAGGAAAGCGUGUAGUCAGCUUAGGUUUCUGCCACACUGUCAUUAAUCAUCAGCCAGCCCCGGAGAGGAACACGACCAUUAAUGCUGACACAUCUUCAUUUGAAUCUUCCAAAGGAUAGCUUAUGCAUGACUGCACAAUCUCCCUAAUUCAGCAAUACAUGAACAUCCGACAGUUUCUAUCACCCCGACUGCUGCAGAAUAACAGUAUAAGUCCACUCUGGUUUUCUCAUCUGACCUUAGAGAGACCGAGAAAAGGGUAACAAGAGACAAAGAGGAAAGAUAUACGAGACAAAGGGUGGUAGAGUGGGUACAGAAGUGAAGAAUGGGGUAAAAAGGUGGACGACUCAUUUGCACAAUGGAAAUGUUCACAAGCUUGAUUAUGAGACUGUAGGACUGUGUCUUUUCAACUUGAGUGAGAAGAAUAAAUGUGAUUCAAGAUUGGCCUCCAGACUUAAACACACACACACACUCAUUGGGUACAGUGUUCAAUGGCUAAGACUGUCUAUCCUCAGACUUCGACAUGGCAAUGCUGAAGGAAACUUUGACCGUCACAAUCAUCAUCAACCAACAAAUAUUCCCCCGCAGGUUAUACACACACAUACGUUACAAACUGACACACACAGAAAGCAUAUGCACAAACUUGUGGUUAAGCAGGCACCUCAGUUUUGACAUAACACACACUUAACACAAAUUGGUCACUGUAGCCUCAUUGGAGGAUGUGUGUGUGUGUGUCUGUCUGUGCCUCAUAGCUCAUAAUUCCUGCUGAAAAUACCAGCUGGAGACCACUGACCAGUAAACAGUUUGUUGUGUUUUAGAUGGUGACUGUACCAUAACUAUCCUUAAUAAUGUUACAAAAGAUUUCUAUUUGAAAUGUUUCUUUUGAUCUUUCUAUUCAUCAAGAA
This is a long non-coding RNA of Pimephales promelas (fathead minnow), 1183 nucleotides long. RefSeq lists it as uncharacterized. The record is from RefSeq and is a predicted model, not a curated record. NCBI's taxonomy places the organism in Eukaryota, Metazoa, Chordata, Actinopteri, Cypriniformes, Leuciscidae.